CCAGCCAUUUCCAAUCACACCAACAAGUUCAAUGUAUUAUUGGAGUGGAGCCUAGCUUGAAUUGUUACUCAAUUAUUGUUCAAUUGCUGCUGAGUUCCCAUGCAAAUACCUAGCUUGGAUAUAUAGUUGGAUAGGGAAGUCGGCAGAAACAGAAAAGCUAGCUUCCUCUGCUACUAUAAUCUUCUUCAACACUGUCAUGGAUUUUGCUUCCCCGGCUAUAGUGUUAAGUUUAGUGUUAGUUUUAGCUGUUGUUGUGGUAAGACACCGGGGCCGAAGGGUGCGUGACAAGAACAAGAGAUACCAUCCUGUUGUCGGAACUGUCUUUCACCAACUCAUCUACUUCCCUAGGCUGCAUCAUUACAUGGCUGAGCUUGCAUUCAAAUACAACACUUACAGGCUGCUGGACUUCUUCAAAGGUGCUAUUUACACAGCAGAUCCUGCAAAUGUGGAAUAUGUGCUGAAAACAAACUUCACUAAUUAUGGCAAGGGGUCAUAUACAUACAACAUUUUGUCAGAUGUUGUGGUGAUGGGAUCUUCGGAGUGGAUGGGCAAAAUGGCAGCAUCAGAGGAAGAUGAUGAGUGCUGAAAUUUUCAACAAAAGUAGUUAGAGACUUCAGCACUUCGGUUUUCAAAACCAAUGCAGUUAAACUUGUUGGCAUAAUCUAUGAAGCUGCAACCAGCAACAAAGCAAUAGAAAUCCAAGAUUUGUUUAUGAAAAGCAACCUUAGACUCAAUCAUCAAGAUUGUACUUGGUAUUGAACUAGACAGCAUGAGUGGAAAAGAUGAAGAAGGUAACCUGUUUUCCCAUGCUUUUGAAGCGCAGCAAGAAGCUGCCCUGUAUCGGAUAUUUGAUAAGUUGUGGAAGAUCAAACGCUUCUUAAACAUCGGUAAGGAAGCAGAGCUAAAGAAAAACAUCAAAGUGGUUGAUCAAUUUGUGUAUAAAUUAAUCAAUAGCAAGAUUGAAGCUAUGCGACAUCCAGAACAUAACCUAUCUCUAAAGAAAAGAGACUUGGUUUCAAGGUGUUUGGAACUGAAAGAUACUGAUCCGAAGUACCUGAGAGACAUAGUCCUCUGUGUUACUGUCGCCGGACAAGACACGACAUCUAGCUCUCUCUCAUGGUUUAUUUAUAUGAUGUGCAAGCAUCUUCACAUACAAGAAAAGAUCGCAAAGGAAGUUAGAGAAGUAACAAAUUUGAAAGAGGGCUCAAAAGUUGAUGAGCUUGCAGCAAGCCUUACUGAUGAAGUCCUUAACAAAAUGCAAUAUCUCCAUGCAGCUUUGACAGAAACAUUAAGACUCUAUCCUGCAGUUCCAUUGAACAUCAGGAUGUGUUUUUGUGAUGAUACCUGGCCAGAUGGAUUUAGUGUCAAAAAGGGGGACAUGGUGGUAUACCAACUGUAUGCAAUGGGAAGGAUGAAAUCUCUAUGGGGUGAUGAUGCAGAAGAGUUUCGGCCAGAGAGAUGGCUCGACGAAAAUGGCCUUUUCCAGGAUGAAAGCCCUUACAAAUUCAUAGCCUUCAGUGCCGGUCCAAGAAUUUGUCUAGGAAAGGAACAUGCCUACACACAGAUGAAGAUAUUUUCUGCUGUGCUUUUAGGCAGCUAUAUAUUCAAGUUAGCUGAUGAGAAUAAAAUGGUGAACUACAAGACCAUGGUCACCCUACCAAUUGAUGGAGGUCUCUACGUGACUGCUUCCCCUAGAAUAUAGAAUGCAAGACCUUGUUUCCAUGUGCCACAGCUACUACUGUGCAUCAUUGGUUUUUUAUGUAACUACUUUACCUAGUAGUGUUCAAAUGCCUUGUCAUUUUUAUACCUGCUGUAAUCAACAAAAGUUAUAUUAAUAAAUUGUUGCAAUAACACAG
Molecule: RNA transcript, 1856 nt
Organism: Fragaria vesca subsp. vesca
Lineage: Eukaryota; Viridiplantae; Streptophyta; Magnoliopsida; Rosales; Rosaceae
Gene name: cytochrome P450 704C1-like
Exons: 6
Source: RefSeq, a predicted model, not a curated record